RNAcentral lists this ribosomal RNA (497 nucleotides) under uncultured bacterium. RNAcentral describes it as "bacterial SSU rRNA". It matches the Rfam family "Bacterial small subunit ribosomal RNA", at positions 28 to 509 of the family's 1533-position model. The record is from RNAcentral.
GACGAACGCUGGCGGCGUGCUUAACACAUGCAAGUCGAACGGACGAGUGAGAUAAGUUUACUUAACUCACAAGUUAGUGGCGGACGGGUGAGUAACACGUGGAUAAUCUACCUGCAACACCGGGAUAACGCUGUGAAAACGGUGCUAAUACCGGAUACGUUCCCUUGUGCGCAUGUAUGAGGGAAGAAAGCUCAGGCGGUUGCAGAUGAGUCCGCGGCUGAUUAGCUAGUUGGUGAGGUAAAGGCUCACCAAGGCGAUGAUCAGUAGCCGGCCUGAGAGGGUGAACGGCCACACUGGGACUGAGACACGGCCCAGACUCCUACGGGAGGCAGCAGUGGGGAAUUUUGGACAAUGGGCGAAAGCCUGAUCCAGCCAUUCCGCGUGCAGGAUGAAGGCCCUCGGGUUGUAAACUGCUUUUGUACGGAACGAAAAGGCUCUUGCUAAUACCAGGAGUCCAUGACGGUACCGUAAGAAUAAGCACCGGCUAACUACGUGCC